GUCGGCGAUAAUGUUGAUAGCUGUUGAUAACGCAUGGGCUCGGACUGCUCCAUUACGUAAAAUAGGCUUUCGACUUUUCCGUUUCUAUCACACGGCCAGCAUCUAUAGAAACGCUCAACCAUU
This 123-nucleotide small RNA is filed under the name Drosophila erecta. RNAcentral's name for it is "GG26271". Lineage: Eukaryota; Metazoa; Arthropoda; Insecta; Diptera; Drosophilidae. The record is from RNAcentral.